GGUUUUUCCUUCUUCUCGUUGCCGUGGCAACUCGGUAGGACAGCUUCAAAUGGCAGGAAUUCUUACAGACCUAAAGGACACGAGAUGGGGCGAUGCAGGCACCUGGAUGCCAACACCUGCCUGGCCCCUUCCCUGCAGCUCUUCAGUUCUGGUAAACAAAGGUGGAUUAUUGAAGGAGUAGCUUUUGCCUCUGGAAAUCAGGUUCAACACUCAAAGUUAUGGUCUGUGGAAUUUCAGUAGAAAACCAUCUUUGCUCCCUGGUGAUAGGAAUGGCAGGGAAGGAAGGUGGAAUUCUCAUACUGGACCAGACUCUCACACUGGGACAACAUUUCUG
Long non-coding RNA from Parus major (Great Tit), 334 nucleotides. RefSeq lists it as uncharacterized. The transcript is spliced from 4 exons. NCBI's taxonomy places the organism in Eukaryota, Metazoa, Chordata, Aves, Passeriformes, Paridae. The record is from RefSeq and is a predicted model, not a curated record.